Molecule: long non-coding RNA, 800 nt
Filed under: Astyanax mexicanus (Mexican tetra)
Lineage: Eukaryota; Metazoa; Chordata; Actinopteri; Characiformes; Acestrorhamphidae
Description: lncRNA (ENSAMXG00005007550.1)
Source: RNAcentral
CGGGUCAAAGGACUAAGAUAUAAAAAAUAUUUCCAAAUGCGUAACUAGUUCUCUUUAUAUGUAGGCAUGUUCUGUGCACUUCCUGGUCUUUCUGAGCCUACUGGGCACUGCCAGGAUGGGUACCAUUGCCCAUCAGGAGCCAUCAGCCCCAAUGCCACAGGGCAUCAGAUGGAAUCAGCUGGUAAUAACAUGUGCCCUCCUGGUCAUUACUGCCCCGUUGGCACUGGCUACCCUCUCCCUUGCCCCCCUGGCACACUGUCCAGCUCCCCAGGGCUGAGUGCGGUGGAGCAGUGCCAGCCCUGCCCGCCGGGGCACUUCUGUGAGCAGCCUGCGAUGUCCAGCCCCUCUGAUGCACUUCUGUGUGAUGCUGGGUACGUGUGCAUUGGAGGCAGUCGCAUUGCUCGCCCAAUAGAUGGACUGGAGGGAUAUCUUUGUCCUAGUGGGCACAGUUGCCCCAUUGGUUCCCCAGUGGAGGUGCCAUGUGAGCCUGGAACCUAUAGCAGCGCUCCUGGAGGCUCCCACUGUCUGUUCUGCCCAGCUGGUACCAUGUGCCCGUCGGCAGCCACUCAGGAGCCGGCACCCUGCCCUAAAGGUUAUUUCUGCCCUGCUGGCACUGCUACAGCUGUGCCAUGCCCUGUGGGCACUCUCGGCCAGGUUAACAGAGCUCAGUCUGAGUCUGCCUGCACUCCCUGCCCCACUGGUCUGUUCUGCAGCCUUCCUGGUGCCUCUCAGCCACAAGGUAUGAUGACAUACAUAUAAUAAACAUAAAUCAUAAACAUAUUUUUUGUCAUAUAGCCAUA